GAUAAACGCUGGCGGCGCACAUAAGACAUGCAAGUCGAACGGACUUAACCAUUAGUUUACUAUUGGAGCGGCUAGUGGCGGACUGGUGAGUAACACGUAAGCAACCUGCCUAUCAGAGGGGAACAACAGUUAGAAAUGACUGCUAAUACCGCAUAUGCCAAGAGUAUCGCAUGAUACAAUUGGGAAAGGAGAAAUCCGCUGAUAGAUGGGCUUGCGUCUGAUUAGAUAGUUGGUGUGGUAACGGCAUACCAAGUCGACGAUCAGUAGCCGGACUGAGAGGUUGAACGGCCACAUUGGGACUGAGAUACGGCCCAGACUCCUACGGGAGGCAGCAGUCGGGAAUAUUGCGCAAUGGAGGAAACUCUGACGCAGUGACGCCGCGUGCAGGAAGAAGGUUUUCGGAUUGUAAACUGCUUUAGACAGGGAAGAAAAAAGACAGUACCUGUAGAAUAAGCUCCGGCUAACUACGUGCCAGCAGCCGCGGUAAUACGUAGGGAGCAAGCGUUAUCCGGAUUUAUUGGGUGUAAAGGGUGCGUAGACGGGAAAUUAAGUUAGUUGUGAAAUCCCUCGGCUCAACUGAGGAACUGCAACUAAAACUGGUUUUCUUGAGUGCUGGAGAGGAAAGUGGAAUUCCUAGUGUAGCGGUGAAAUGCGUAGAUAUUAGGAGGAACACCAGUGGCGAAGGCGACUUUCUGGACAGUAACUGACGUUGAGGCACGAAAGUGUGGGGAGCAAACAGGAUUAGAUACCCUGGUAGUCCAUACCGUAAACGAUGGAUACUAGGUGUAGGGGAUGAAUAAUCUUCUGUGCCGUCGCAAACGCAGUAAGUAUCCCACCUGGGGAGUACGGCCGCAAGGUUGAAACUCAAAGGAAUUGACGGGGGCCCGCACAAGCAGUGGAGUAUGUGGUUUAAUUCGACGCAACGCGAAGAACCUUACCAGGGCUUGACAUAUAGAGGAAUAUGCUAGAGAUAGUAUAGCUCUUCGGAGUCUCUAUACAGGUGGUGCAUGGUUGUCGUCAGCUCGUGUCGUGAGAUGUUGGGUUAAGUCCCGCAACGAGCGCAACCCCUGUUCUUAGUUGCCAGCACGUUAAGGUGGGAACUCUAAGAAGACUGCCGGUGAUAAAUCGGAGGAAGGUGGGGACGACGUCAAAUCAUCAUGCCCUUUAUGUCCUGGGCUACACACGUGCUACAAUGGCUGUAACAGAGGGAAGCGAACCCGCGAGGAGGAGCAAAACCCAAAAAAGCAGUCUCAGUUCGGAUUGAAGGCUGAAAUUCGCCUUCAUGAAGCCGGAAUUGCUAGUAAUGGCAGGUCAGCAUACUGCCGUGAAUACGUUCCCGGGCCUUGUACACACCGCCCGUCACACCAUGAGAGUUGGGAAUACCCGAAGCCUGUGAGCUAACUUUUCAAGAGGCAGCAGUCGAAGGUAGAAUCAAUGAUUGGGGUGA
Molecule: ribosomal RNA, 1447 nt
Filed under: uncultured bacterium
Lineage: Bacteria
Description: bacterial SSU rRNA
Rfam family: Bacterial small subunit ribosomal RNA
Source: RNAcentral